This 451-nucleotide ribosomal RNA is filed under the name uncultured bacterium. RNAcentral describes it as "bacterial SSU rRNA". It matches the Rfam family "Bacterial small subunit ribosomal RNA", at positions 335 to 775 of the family's 1533-position model. The record is from RNAcentral.
ACUCCUACGGGAGGCAGCAGUGGGGAAUAUUGCACAAUGGGCGCAAGCCUGAUGCAGCCAUGCCGCGUGUAUGAAGAAGGCCUUCGGGUUGUAAAGUACUUUCAGCAGUGAGGAAGGUGGAUAUGUUAAUAGCAUAUUCUAUUUGUACGUUAGCUGCAGAAGAAGCACCGGCUAACUCCGUGCCAGCAGCCGCGGUAAUACGGAGGGUGCGAGCGUUAAUCGGAAUUACUGGGCGUAAAGCGCAUGCAGGUGGUUUGUUAAGUCAGAUGUGAAAGCCCGGGGCUCAACCUCGGAAUUGCAUUUGAAACUGGCAAACUAGAGUACUGUAGAGGGGGUAGGAAUUUCAGGUGUAGCGGUGAAAUGCGUAGAGAUCUGAAGGAAUACCGGUGGCGAACGGCGGCCCCCGUGGACAGAUACUGACACUCAGAUGCGAAAGCGUGGGAGCAAACGA